This 254-nucleotide ribosomal RNA is filed under the name uncultured bacterium. RNAcentral describes it as "partial 16S ribosomal RNA". It matches the Rfam family "Bacterial small subunit ribosomal RNA", at positions 524 to 776 of the family's 1533-position model. The record is from RNAcentral.
UACGGGGGGAGCAAGCGUUGUUCGGAUUUACUGGGCGUAAAGGGCGCGUAGGCGGCCCGCUAAGUCGAACGUGAAAUCCCCGAGCUCAACUCGGGAACUGCGUCCGAUACUGGUGGGCUUGAAUCCGGGAGAGGGAUGCGGAAUUCCAGGUGUAGCGGUGAAAUGCGUAGAUAUCUGGAGGAACACCGGUGGCGAAGGCGGCAUCCUGGACCGGCAUUGACGCUGAGGCGCGAAAGCUAGGGGGAGCAAACGGG